UGAGUUUGGGGUGUGGUUCAGUGAGUUUGUGUGAGGAAUGUGCCUGGGCUAAUGAGGUGCGAAUUGCCCAAUUAGCCCAGGCACCUGUAUAAAAGGGAGUGGUUGGGUAUGUUAGUUGGUGAGUGUUUGUGAGAGUGAGAAGACCUGUAUGAGAGAAUCCUGACUCUGAGUCUCCUUACCCCGCAACUCUGGCUGGUUGUAGGUGCAGACUCAGAGCUCACAUGAGAAGAUCCAUCAACAGUUGCCAUCUGAAUAAAAAAGAGGACAGGCAGGUUAUCUUUUGUUCAGCAGCCCAGAGCGGUAGUAUUGCUUCACUUACUGUGACCUGACACUGUUGCUUCUGCAGCAUGACCAGCUGUUCCUUCUCAAGGGGUUGAUUAAGAACAGGGCAGAGCUUCGCCACCGCUUGGGCCCAGACUCUAAACUCUCAGUGCUGUUUCCAGA
Molecule: long non-coding RNA, 444 nt
Organism: Acipenser ruthenus (sterlet)
Lineage: Eukaryota; Metazoa; Chordata; Actinopteri; Acipenseriformes; Acipenseridae
Exons: 5
Source: RefSeq, a predicted model, not a curated record